Molecule: ribosomal RNA, 645 nt
Filed under: Austrosynapha sp. JSGS1
Lineage: Eukaryota; Metazoa; Arthropoda; Insecta; Diptera; Mycetophilidae
Description: eukaryotic LSU rRNA
Source: RNAcentral
GAGGACACAUGAACAUUGACAUUUUGAACGCAUAUUGCGGUCCAUACUGACUAGUUUCUUAACCGAAGCUGUAUGGACCACACAUGGUUGAGGGUCGUUAGUUUACGCUAACUAAAUUGUCUUUGGUUUACUACCGAAGGCGACAUCAUGAGGUGUUGGUAGCCUUCAGUGUGCUACCAUCCCUUGAAAAUGCCAAAUAUCAUAAUUGGCACACAGUAUAUAUUUAUGUAUAUAUUGUGUGUGUGUAAAUGAUAGAAAAACAUGCGCUUUACGUGUUUACAUCAAUGGAAACAGAUAUUUUUCCAGACAGCCAUAUUAUUUUAAAUAUGUUUGUGGUGAAACUAGUAAAAUUUGAUUAAGCGUUAUGAUUUUAUAACGUAUUUGAAUGCUAUCUGAACGUUUCUAACAACCAUAUAAUAUUAAAAUUUAUAUUUGGCUUAAAGAAAAUAUUUAUUCGAUUAAUUUCCAUUUGAAUAAAACCAUAAAAUUCUGAAUAUAUUUGAAUGCAUAUAUUUCGAACGCACAAUGAAUUUUUGAAAGCGACAUGAUAUUUUACUUUGCACAUGCACAUAUAUAAAUUCUUGAAAUGAAUAUAUAUUUUGAUAAAACAAUUUAAAGCGACCUCAACUCAUGUGAGACUACCCC